CCUACGGGGGGCUGCAGUGGGGAAUAUUGCACAAUGGGGGAAACCCUGAUGCAGCGACGCCGCGUGAGUGAAGAAGUAAUUCGUUAUGUAAAGCUCUAUCAGCAGGGAAGAAAAUGACGGUACCUGAGUAAGAAGCCCCGGCUAACUACGUGCCAGCAGCCGCGGUAAUGCGUAGGGGGCAAGCGUUAUCCGGAUUUACUGGGUGGAAAGGGGGCGUAGACGGCAGUGCAAGUCUGGAGUGAAAGGCGGGGGCUCAACCCCCGGACUGCUCUUGAAACUGUACGGCUGGAGUGCAGGAGAGGUAAGUGGAAUUCCUAGUGUAGCGGGGAAAUGCGUAGAUAUUAGGAGGAACACCGGUGGCGAAGGCGGCUUGCUGGACUGUAACUGACGUUGAGGCUCGAAAGCGUGGGGAGCAAACAGGAUUAGAUACCCGAGUAGUC
RNAcentral lists this ribosomal RNA (440 nucleotides) under uncultured bacterium. RNAcentral describes it as "partial 16S ribosomal RNA". It matches the Rfam family "Bacterial small subunit ribosomal RNA", at positions 338 to 795 of the family's 1533-position model. The record is from RNAcentral.